AGAGGCGCAGCUAUGGCGUUGAAGCUGGCUGACAUAAAACCAAUUUCUCUCCCAUCUCCUGAUAUGGAAAUAUUUCUGCAGACUGCUGAUCCAAGAUGUAUUGUGUGGAGAAUCUUGUCGCCAUACCAGUUAUUCAUAUUCACAAUUCCAAGGCCCCUGUCCACAAUCACAAAAAGGAUUCUGGAGAUGACAGUUUAUAUGUUACUCUUGUCAUGCUGUUGAUGGAGCACAGGAUAUAAGCACUUUUUCUGUAAGAAAUACUAGAACAAGACACAACCCAGAUGUGAGGGCAUUGUUCACACUUCUCUGCUUUGAAACAAUGUUUUCUAUAUGUCUUUGGUGUUCAGGUCUUUUUGCGGGAAAUAAACAAGGUAAAUCAUGUACAAUCUGCAUACAUGUAUUGCAAGAGAACAUUGACUUGCGUCUGGAAGAACGAAGUUAUACUUCGUCCGUCUGAAUAACCAAUAGUACGGCUACCAGCUUCUAAACUGUUUUACUCAUUCCUUUUAUCUUUUAUGAAUUUUCCAAAUGUUGACAUGCCAAGAAAUCCUAUCCAAUUUUCGAUUAAGAAGGAAACCCCUGUAUGCCAGCAUAUACCUGGAGUUUAGUAGCAUAUGCAUUAUGUUCCAUUCAGUGGUUUUGUGCAAAGGGUUAAAGGGCUGACUUGGUUCUCCAUGUAAUUUUUAUCAGUUAUCUGCUGUACAGCUAAUUCAUUUCAUUUAAUGGCCAUUACGACCAGCUUGAAAUUCAGGGGAGCAAUGAUUUUGGUCAUUUUUCGGAAAAAUAUUUCUAUUGUUCAUGUUUCUUAGGUUUAACGCUUCAUCUCAUUUUGUUUAUUACGACACUUGUCAAAAAUAAAACAAAAAUUUCAAUCAUAGUUUAUUAUUAAGUAUUGACAUGAUUUUCUUAACCAUAGAAAGUAUAAUUAUUAAUUAACUAAGCUAAGCAUUACAUCUUUGAUAUUGUUUAUGAACAAUCUCCUUGAUAACAAUAUUUAACUAUCUAAACCACACUCUUGAAUUAUGUUUAAAGAUUGAAAACAAAUCAAAUGUACUAUAACUAUAUUUCUUAGUUCUCCAACAGCUAAAUAUUUUCCUCACGCAGGCCAAAUCCUAAUAGCCUCUUAUAGAUCAAUACCGUAAUCAAGUCGUUUAAUUUAACAACUUGAUUACGGUAUUGUUCUAUAAAGGAUUUGGCCAGCGUGAGGAUGUAUUUUGACCCAAAUAGAAUCAUGAACCCCAGUCAAACUUAUCGACUACCGGCUCAAAAUGUUGUGACUCAUGUAUAUUUAAUAAAAUGAUACCGGGGAGUCGUUUAUCUGUGGAUGUCGAAAAUCUGCUUAAAGGGGCUGUACUCCGUAUGAUAAAAUAGCGGGGGAAAAAGAAAAUUGUCGA
Mya arenaria is the source of this 1394-nucleotide long non-coding RNA. RefSeq lists it as uncharacterized. NCBI's taxonomy places the organism in Eukaryota, Metazoa, Mollusca, Bivalvia, Myida, Myidae. The transcript is spliced from 3 exons. The record is from RefSeq and is a predicted model, not a curated record.